CCCCAUACCGUCCGGAAUUCUACUUCUUUCCCUCUUUCGGUGACCGCCACUCCCCCUCUUACGCUUGUACUUCCGUACGUCCCUCUCCAUCGACUCUAAACCAGCGUUUCCUUCGCCUUUCCCCAUGGCCUCCUCCUUGGUCCUCUGUCCCUUCCUCUUCCUCCUCUGUUCCGUUUCUUCAAUUGCUUCUCCCUCUCCACUCCAAUCCUCCCGUCUUUCUCGCAUUCUCGAGUUCCAUGAGCCAGAGCGGGUGUCUCCAUAGGUUCAAGAAGCAAUGGCCCGUGGCCUUCGUGGGGACUCCUUCCGGCCUAUCAAGCCAGCUUCGAGUUUGAGAUCAUUCCCGAGGUAACUGUCCGUCCGAUGGACGUUUCCUUCGAUGUUUGAAACAAUCCAAGAAAGUUGUUGCUCGGAUCGCACCCUGCAACCUGGCAAAAGUUUUGCAACAAAAAAAGCUACUGUGUUUCUGCUAUCAAUUUUGUUCCCGACUCAAUGAUGGCGGCCUGAUGCUGUGAAUUACAUCUCUAACUAUUUGGGUCUUCUUCUCAAUGAUCAUGCUAGGCGUUGUGUGGUAACUUGUUUAUGUGAUUCUUUUUGCAUAUAUGACUAUUUGGGUCUUCAUAGUUAAUUUUUGACUGGGUUUUCUCGUCCUUGAAAAAUAGUUUCGGAGGGAACCAUUAUUUUGUUGUAGAUGUUACUAGAUUUAAACUUAUUGUGCAGGUUCAAUUGUUUCCCUUGUAUUAUGUGGGUAAUCCUGAACACAAAGUUACCAAGAACAACAAGAACCUAUCAAAAUUUUCUGGCAUGCAGUGUUCUUGGUAGGGUUAUGUGCAAUCUUGUUUCUAUCCUUUCUUUAGAUUAAAAGAAUGAAUUUUUUAUGUGCA
This is a long non-coding RNA of Elaeis guineensis (African oil palm), 881 nucleotides long. RefSeq lists it as uncharacterized. Lineage: Eukaryota; Viridiplantae; Streptophyta; Magnoliopsida; Arecales; Arecaceae. The record is from RefSeq and is a predicted model, not a curated record.